This 254-nucleotide ribosomal RNA is filed under the name uncultured bacterium. RNAcentral describes it as "partial 16S ribosomal RNA". It matches the Rfam family "Bacterial small subunit ribosomal RNA", at positions 524 to 776 of the family's 1533-position model. The record is from RNAcentral.
UACGUAGGUGGCAAGCGUUGUCCGGAUUUAUUGGGUUUAAAGGGUGCGUAGGCGGCUUAUUAAGUCAGUGGUGAAAUACUCUAGCUCAACUAGAGGGGUGCCAUUGAUACUGAUGAGCUUGAGUACAGAUGAGGUAGGCGGAAUUGACGGUGUAGCGGUGAAAUGCUUAGAUAUCGAUCAAGAACACCUAUAGCGAAGGCAGCUUACUAGGCUGUAACUGACGCUGAGGCACGAAAGUGUGGGGAUCAAACAGG